RNAcentral lists this ribosomal RNA (253 nucleotides) under uncultured bacterium. RNAcentral describes it as "partial 16S ribosomal RNA". It matches the Rfam family "Bacterial small subunit ribosomal RNA", at positions 524 to 776 of the family's 1533-position model. The record is from RNAcentral.
UACAGAGGGGGCAAGCGUUAUUCGGAAUUAUUGGGCGUAAAGAGUGUGUAGGCGGUGCUCUAAGUCUGUUGUGAAAUCUCCCGGCUUAACUGGGAGGGUGCGGCGGAAACUGGAGUGCUCGAGGGUGGGAGAGGUAAGCGGAAUUCCUGGUGUAGCGGUGAAAUGCGUAGAUAUCAGGAGGAACACCUGUGGUGUAGACAGCUUACUGGACCACUUCUGACGCUGAGACACGAAAGCGUGGGUAGCAAACAGG